This is a non-coding RNA of Clohesyomyces aquaticus, 78 nucleotides long. The record is from the annotation of a GenBank genome assembly. Lineage: Eukaryota; Fungi; Ascomycota; Dothideomycetes; Pleosporales; Lindgomycetaceae.
AACAGGGCCGAGUGGUUAUGGCGCUAGCUUCAGGUGCUAGUGGAGCAAUCCGCGUGGGUUCGAGUCCCACGGCUGUCA